GCGAGAUAGCUCAGCUGGUUAGAGCGUCGGAUUCAUAAUCCGGAGGUCGUGGGAUCAUACCCCACUCUCGC
This 71-nucleotide transfer RNA is filed under the name bovine gut metagenome. It matches the Rfam family "tRNA". Rfam says of the family: Transfer RNA (tRNA) molecules are approximately 80 nucleotides in length. The record is from RNAcentral.